AUAGAAUCUACAACAAUAUCCUAAAUUGUCUAUAUAAACUCGCUUACAAUGUCUCACUUAUCCUAAAUUCGAUCUCAUUGUUAAGUAAACAUUUAAACUCCAUACUACAGAAACAGAAAGAUGUCAUCCUGUCAAGAAAAGAUGCCUGGCUGCCAAGGGAAGAAAUCAUGGCCGGAACUAGUUGGAAAAGAUGGGGAAGAGGCAGCAGAAAUAAUCAAAUCCGAAAACUGUUUCGUGAAGCUGACUGUCGUCGUACCAGAGGGUAGCCUAACAAUUUUUGACUUUAGGUGUGACCGUGUUUUUAUUUUUGUUGAUUCCUGUAAAAAGGUGGUCCAUACUCCCUCCAUUGGAUAAGUUAAAACAUGUUAUGUGAUGUGCACUACUUAAUAUCAUAUUGUAGUAAAUGAAAUGUGCACUACUCGAUCUUGAACUGCCUAUGUAGUUAUGAAGUAUGUACUUAUGUACUACCACUAGGUAGUGAUCAUGAUGAUCCAUAUAUAACAUCAAUGAUAAUGUUUGUUUCCAUUGUUUACGUACUA
This is a long non-coding RNA of Spinacia oleracea (spinach), 539 nucleotides long. RefSeq lists it as uncharacterized. NCBI's taxonomy places the organism in Eukaryota, Viridiplantae, Streptophyta, Magnoliopsida, Caryophyllales, Amaranthaceae. The transcript has 3 exons. The record is from RefSeq and is a predicted model, not a curated record.